AAAUUAAAGAGUUUGAUCAUGGCUCAGAUUGAACGCUGGCGGCAGGCCUAACACAUGCAAGUCGAACGGUAACAGGAAGCAGCUUGCUGCUUCGCUGACGAGUGGCGGACGGGUGAGUAAUGUCUGGGAAACU
This 133-nucleotide ribosomal RNA is filed under the name Escherichia coli. RNAcentral's name for it is "partial 16S ribosomal RNA". It matches the Rfam family "Bacterial small subunit ribosomal RNA", at positions 1 to 126 of the family's 1533-position model. RNAcentral also lists the same sequence under 1 other name. Lineage: Bacteria; Pseudomonadati; Pseudomonadota; Gammaproteobacteria; Enterobacterales; Enterobacteriaceae. The record is from RNAcentral.